AUGGACGACAUGGAUGUGGACUUAG
This 25-nucleotide non-coding RNA is filed under the name Cricetulus griseus (Chinese hamster). The record is from RNAcentral. Lineage: Eukaryota; Metazoa; Chordata; Mammalia; Rodentia; Cricetidae.